GGGCGUAUAGCUCAGCGGUAGAGCUCUGGUCUUACACACCAGCGGUCGGCGGUUCGAACCCGUCUGCGCCCA
RNAcentral lists this transfer RNA (72 nucleotides) under Mycobacteriaceae bacterium. It matches the Rfam family "tRNA". Rfam says of the family: Transfer RNA (tRNA) molecules are approximately 80 nucleotides in length. Their secondary structure includes four short double-helical elements and three loops (D, anti-codon, and T loops). Further hydrogen bonds mediate the characteristic L-shaped molecular structure. tRNAs have two regions of fundamental functional importance: the anti-codon, which is responsible for specific mRNA codon recognition, and the 3' end, to which the tRNAs corresponding amino acid is attached (by aminoacyl-tRNA synthetases). tRNAs cope with the degeneracy of the genetic code in two manners: having more than one tRNA (with a specific anti-codon) for a particular amino acid; and 'wobble' base-pairing, i.e. permitting non-standard base-pairing at the 3rd anti-codon position. Lineage: Bacteria; Bacillati; Actinomycetota; Actinomycetes; Mycobacteriales; Mycobacteriaceae. The record is from Rfam by way of RNAcentral.